GCACCCAUAGCUCAGCGAAUGAGAGCGGCUGGCUUCGAACCAGCAGGCCGGGAGUUUGAAUCUCUCUGGGUGCGCCC
This 77-nucleotide transfer RNA is filed under the name Lacticaseibacillus rhamnosus. Its description in RNAcentral is "tRNA-Arg". It matches the Rfam family "tRNA". Rfam says of the family: Transfer RNA (tRNA) molecules are approximately 80 nucleotides in length. Their secondary structure includes four short double-helical elements and three loops (D, anti-codon, and T loops). Lineage: Bacteria; Bacillati; Bacillota; Bacilli; Lactobacillales; Lactobacillaceae. The record is from RNAcentral.